This 492-nucleotide ribosomal RNA is filed under the name uncultured bacterium. RNAcentral describes it as "partial 16S ribosomal RNA". It matches the Rfam family "Bacterial small subunit ribosomal RNA", at positions 30 to 507 of the family's 1533-position model. The record is from RNAcentral.
AUUGAACGCUGGCGGCAUGCUUUACACAUGCAAGUCGAACGGUAACAGGCCUUCGGGUGCUGACGAGUGGCGAACGGGUGAGUAAUGCAUCGGAACGUGCCCAGAGGUGGGGGAUAACGCAGCGAAAGCUGUGCUAAUACCGCAUGUGAUCUGAGGAUGAAAGCGGGGGACCAGGCAGCAAUGUUUGGCCUCGCGCCUUUGGAGCUGCCGAUGUCAGAUUAGGUAGUUGGUGGGGUAAAGGCCUACCAAGCCGACGAUCUGUAGCUGGUCUGAGAGGACGACCAGCCACACUGGAACUGAGACACGGCCCAGACUCCUACGGGAGGCAGCAGUGGGGAAUUUUGGACAAUGGGCGCAAGCCUGAUCCAGCAAUGCCGCGUGCGGGAAGAAGGCCUUCGGGUUGUAAACCGCUUUUGUACGGAACGAAAAGGCUCUGGCUAAUACCUGGGGCUGAUGACGGUACCGUAAGAAUAAGCACCGGCUAACUACGUG